AAUUCAACAGGUUAGGGGGUUAGGGGGAGAGAGAGACAGAGAGCAUCUUCAUCAAUCGACAAUGGCGGACGACGACUACAACGAUAUGGAUAUGGGAUAUGAGGAUGAACCUCCAGAGCCUGAGAUUGAAGAGGGUGCAGAGGAGGAUGCUGAUAAUAAUAAUAAUGAAGACAUUCCGGAUGCUAUCGAAACUGCAGAAAAAGAACAGGUGCCUGUGGAACGUUCUCGAAAGACUUCCAAGUAUAUGACAAAAUAUGAAAGGGCAAGGAUCUUGGGUACCCGUGCUCUGCAGAUCAGCAUGAAUGCACCUGUGAUGGUUGAGUUGGAGGGUGAGACUGACCCACUUGAGAUUGCGAUGAAAGAACUUCGUGAGAGGAAGAUACCCUUCACCAUUCGCCGCUACCUGCCUGAUGGAAGUUAUGAAGACUGGGGAGUUGAUGAAUUGAUUGUAGAAGACUCAUGGAAGAGGCAAGUCGGUGGUGAUUGACUAGUUCUCAUUCGGCAGCGAACAAGUGAACUAAUGAAAGUUCCAUGUGAUGUAUUUUUAGAACUUCCUACUGCAGACCUGAUUAGUUUGACCAGCAAUACAUACAUGUAUAGGAUGUUUGAGGUUGAUUUUGUGCCUCAAUGACUAUCCUUAAUUCAUGUUGUAGAUGUUUCUCUUCUUUUGGUUUUUGUAGAGACCUAUAAUGGGGUUGAUAUUAAUGGCCCAUGCUCAAUUCCAAUCCAUGGGGAAAGUUAGAAUGAAGAUAUUAGGAAGUGCUUGAUUUUGACAUGUUGAUGGAAGGAAGAGGGAAACUGCAUGCUGCCCACUGAAGGGUCCAGCACUUGUCGGUUUUCAUUGUCCUGUCUGCAUUAGGUGCUUUCGUCUAUGCUUUUCAUGUAUUUAUUUCUCGCGAAUGGGAUUUGUAACUCUGUUAUGUUGAUAGGGCUAAGUGGAGCCCUUUCUCUUA
Molecule: RNA transcript, 953 nt
Organism: Vitis riparia (riverbank grape)
Lineage: Eukaryota; Viridiplantae; Streptophyta; Magnoliopsida; Vitales; Vitaceae
Gene name: DNA-directed RNA polymerases II and V subunit 6B-like
Exons: 7
Source: RefSeq, a predicted model, not a curated record